This 415-nucleotide ribosomal RNA is filed under the name uncultured bacterium. Its description in RNAcentral is "bacterial SSU rRNA". It matches the Rfam family "Bacterial small subunit ribosomal RNA", at positions 355 to 767 of the family's 1533-position model. The record is from RNAcentral.
UGAGGAAUAUUGGUCAAUGGGGGCAACCCUGAACCAGCCAAGUCGCGUGAAGGAUGAAGGUCUUAUGGAUUGUAAACUUCUUUUACAUGGGAAUAAAGUGGGGGACGUGUCCCCCUUUGCAUGUACCGUGUGAAUAAGGAUCGGCUAACUCCGUGCCAGCAGCCGCGGUAAUACGGAGGAUCCGAGCGUUAUCCGGAUUUAUUGGGUUUAAAGGGUGCGCAGGCGGGAUGUUAAGUCGGCGGUGAAAGUUUGCAGCUCAACUGUAAAAGUGCCUUCGAUACUGGCCUCCUUGAGUGUGGAUGAAGUAGGCGGAAUUUGUGGUGUAGCGGUGAAAUGCUUAGAUAUCACGAGGAACUCCGAUUGCGCAGGCAGCUUACUAAGCCACAACUGACGCUCAUGCACGAAGGCGUGGGGA